RNAcentral lists this ribosomal RNA (201 nucleotides) under uncultured bacterium. RNAcentral's name for it is "partial 16S ribosomal RNA". It matches the Rfam family "Bacterial small subunit ribosomal RNA", at positions 1300 to 1500 of the family's 1533-position model. The record is from RNAcentral.
GUAGUCUGCAACCCGACCUACANGAAGCUGGAAUCGCUAGUAAUCGCGGAUCAGAAUGCCGCGGUGAAUACGUUCCCGGGUCUUGUACACACCGCCCGUCACACCAUGGAGUCGGAAAUGCCCGAAGUCUGUGACCCAACCUUAGGGAGGGAGCAGCCGAAGGCAGGUCGGAUGACUGGGGUGAAGUCGUAACAAGGUAAC